AGCUCUAAGAAAAAUAAAAAAACAGAUAGGAAAACCCAAUACAUUCCUAGAACGAACCCACCUACUACAAAAGUAUUGUACAAAUCAUUAGGGCUAGGCCACAGAUCAUGCUGCCGUGGAGAUCAAUUUGUAAGUGGAAGUUUAUAGUGGAAAGCAAUAUUUAAGUCUGGCUCGUAUAUAAGCAUAUGUAGGUGAUGGAGGUGCGCUCAAUCCUUCGUCUGGAAUUCAGGAUGCUCUAGUGGAUAAGUCCCAGUACCAAAAAAGGACCAAUUGAAGCAUUUGAAUAUAAAGAAUAAUCCAGGCACUCCAGCAUAUUCCAAAAUGUAGGCAAUCU
This is a non-coding RNA of Pelobates cultripes (western spadefoot toad), 334 nucleotides long. Lineage: Eukaryota; Metazoa; Chordata; Amphibia; Anura; Pelobatidae. The record is from the annotation of a GenBank genome assembly.